AACGAACGCUGGCGGCAUGCCUAACACAUGCAAGUCGAGCGCCGUAGCAAUACGGAGCGGCGCACGGGUGAGUAACGCGUGGGAACCUGCCCAGAGGUUCGGGACAACCGCGGGAAACUGCGGCUGAUACCGGAUGAUACCUGAGGGUCAAAGAUUUAUCGCCUUUGGAGGGGCCCGCGUCAGAUUAGGUAGUUGGUGGGGUAACGGCCUACCAAGCCUGUGAUCUGUAGCUGGUCUGAGAGGAUGACCAGCCACACUGGGACUGAGACACGGCCCAGACUCCUACGGGAGGCAGCAGUGGGGAGUAUUGGACAAUGGGGGCAACCCUGAUCCAGCAAUGCCGCGUGGGUGAUGAAGGCCUUCGGGUUGUAAAGCCCUUUCGGCGGGGACGAUGAUGACGGUACCCGCAGAAGAAGCCCCGGCUAACUUCGUGCCAGCAGCCGCCGUAA
RNAcentral lists this ribosomal RNA (449 nucleotides) under uncultured bacterium. RNAcentral's name for it is "partial 16S ribosomal RNA". It matches the Rfam family "Bacterial small subunit ribosomal RNA", at positions 28 to 523 of the family's 1533-position model. The record is from RNAcentral.